UAGUCCACGCCCUAAACGAUGUUAACUCGAUGUUUGUAUUUAUAUGAGCAUCCAAGGGAAACCGUUAAGUUAACCACCUGGGAAGUACGUUCGCAAGAAUGAAACUCAAAGGAAUUGACGGGGGUCCGCACAAGCGGUGAGCAUGUGGUUUAAUUCGAAGCAACGCGAAGAACCUUACCAGGACUUGACAUGGAGUCGCCGCUACGAGAGAUCGUAGUUCUUACUUCGGUAAGCGGCUCACACAGGUGCUGCAUGGCUGUCGUCAGCUCGUGUCGUGAGAUGUUGGGUUAAGUCCCGCAACGAGCGCAACCCUCGUUCUUAGUUGUCAUCAUUAAGUUGGACCCUCUAGGAAGACUGCCGCGGACAACGCGGAGGAAGGUGGGGACGACGUCAAGUCAUCAUGGCCCUUACGUCCUGGGCUACACACGUGCUACAAUGGCUGGUACAAUGGGUCGCCAAACCGCGAGGUGGAGCUAAUCCCCAAAGCCAGUCUCAGUUCGGAUUGUAGUCUGCAACUCG
Molecule: ribosomal RNA, 519 nt
Filed under: uncultured bacterium
Lineage: Bacteria
Description: bacterial SSU rRNA
Rfam family: Bacterial small subunit ribosomal RNA
Source: RNAcentral